Molecule: ribosomal RNA, 254 nt
Filed under: uncultured bacterium
Lineage: Bacteria
Description: partial 16S ribosomal RNA
Rfam family: Bacterial small subunit ribosomal RNA
Source: RNAcentral
UACGGAGGGGGGCUAGCGUUGUUCGGAAUUACUGGGCGUAAAGCGCGCGUAGGCGGCUUUGUAAGUUAGAGGUGAAAGCCCGGAGCUCAACUCCGGAACUGCCUUUAAGACUGCAUCGCUAGAACGUCGGAGAGGUAAGUGGAAUUCCGAGUGUAGAGGUGAAAUUCGUAGAUAUUCGGAAGAACACCAGUGGCGAAGGCGACUUACUGGACGACUGUUGACGCUGAGGUGCGAAAGCGUGGGGAGCAAACAGG